RNAcentral lists this ribosomal RNA (699 nucleotides) under Rhizopus microsporus. RNAcentral's name for it is "eukaryotic LSU rRNA". It matches the Rfam family "Eukaryotic large subunit ribosomal RNA", at positions 38 to 667 of the family's 3401-position model. Lineage: Eukaryota; Fungi; Mucoromycota; Mucoromycetes; Mucorales; Rhizopodaceae. RNAcentral also lists the same sequence under 1 other name. The record is from RNAcentral.
GCAUAUCAAUAAGCGGAGGAAAAGAAAAUAACAAUGAUUUCCUUAGUAACGGCGAGUGAACAGGAAAAAGCUCAAAGUUGGAACCUGUUUGGCCUAGCUAAACCGGAUUGUAAACUGUAGAAGUGUUUUCCAGGCAAGCCGGACCGAUAAGUCCUUUGGAACAGGGCAUCAUAGAGGGUGAGAAUCCCGUCUUCGGUCUGAGCAUUUGCCUUUUGCGAUACACUUUCAAAGAGUCAGGUUGUUUGGGAAUGCAGCCUAAAUUGGGUGGUAAAUCUCACCUAAAGCUAAAUAUUGGCGAGAAACCGAUAGCGAACAAGUACCGUGAGGGAAAGAUGAAAAGAACUUUGAAAAGAGAGUUAAACAGUAUGUGAAAUUGUUAAAAGGGAACCGUUUGGAGCCAGACUGGCUUGUCUGUAAUCAGUCUAAGCUUCGGCUUGGAUGCACUUGCAGGCUAUGCCUGCCAACGACAAUUUGGCUUGAGGGAAAAAACUAAGGGAAAUGUGGCCCAUCCGUGGGUGUUAUAGUCCCUUAGAAAAUACCUUGGGCUGGAUUGAGGUACGCAGCGAAUGCUAUUUGGCGAGUUGGCUGGGAAUAUUUUCUGAGGUGCUUUGGUACUGAGGUUGAUAUUCCUAGUUACACUUCUAUUCGCUUAGGUUGUUGGCUUAAUGACUCUAAAUGACCCGUCUUGAAACACGGACC